GCUAUAUACAGUAGCGAGGCUAUAUACAGUAGAGGCUAUAUACAGUAGAGAGGCUAUAUACAGUUGCGAGGCUAUAUACAGUAGAGGCUAUAUACAGUAGAGAGGCUAUAUACAGUAGAGAGGUUAUAUACAGUAGAGAGGCUAUAUACAGUAGAGAGGCUAUAUAAAGUAGAGAGGUUAUAUACAGUAGAGAGGCUAUAUACAGUAGAGGGGCUAUAUACAGUAGAGAGGCUAUAUACAGUAGAGAGGCUAUAUACAGUAGAGAGGCUAUAUACAGUAGAGAGGAUAUAUACAGUAGAGAGGCUAUAUACAGUAGAGAGGCUAUAUACAGUAGAGAGGCUAUAUACAGUAGAGAGGUUAUAUACAGUAGAGAGGCUAUAUACAGUAGCGAGGCUACAUACAGUAGAGGCUAUAUACAGUAGAGAGGCUAUAUACAGUAGAGAGGCUAUAUACAGUAGAGAGGCUAUAUACAGUAGAGAGGCUAUAUACAGUAGAGAGGCUACAUACAGUAGAGAGUCUAUAUACAGUAGAGAGGCUAUAUACAGUAGAGGCUAUAUACAGUAGAGAGGAUAUAUACAGUAGAGGCUAUAUACAGUAGAGAGGCUAUAUACAGUAGAGAGGCUAUAUACAGUAGAGAGGCUAUAUACAGUAGAGAGGCUAUAUACAGUAGAGAGGUUAUAUACAGUAGAGAGGUUAUAUACAGUAGAGAGGCUAUAUACAGUAGAGGCUAUAUGCAGUAGAGGCUAUAUACAGUAGAGAG
RNAcentral lists this long non-coding RNA (760 nucleotides) under Salmo salar (Atlantic salmon). Its description in RNAcentral is "lncRNA (ENSSSAG00000115434.1)". The record is from RNAcentral. Lineage: Eukaryota; Metazoa; Chordata; Actinopteri; Salmoniformes; Salmonidae.